RNAcentral lists this non-coding RNA (29 nucleotides) under Homo sapiens (human). The record is from RNAcentral. Lineage: Eukaryota; Metazoa; Chordata; Mammalia; Primates; Hominidae.
UCAGAAGAUGCCAGCAAGCUUCUGCAGGA